Molecule: ribosomal RNA, 336 nt
Filed under: Bacteroidales bacterium
Lineage: Bacteria; Pseudomonadati; Bacteroidota; Bacteroidia; Bacteroidales
Description: bacterial SSU rRNA
Rfam family: Bacterial small subunit ribosomal RNA
Source: RNAcentral
ACAAAGACGAGUUUGAUCCUGGCUCAGGAUGAACGCUAGCGGCAGGCUUAACACAUGCAAGUCGAGGGGCAGCGCGGAGUAGCAAUACUCUGGCGGCGACCGGCGGAAGGGUGCGUAACACGUGAGCAACUUGCCCGUGACAGGGGGAUAAGCGAUGGAAACGUCGUCUAACAUCCCGUAACACGAGGGGAGGCAUCUCCCUUCGUUGAAAACUCCGGUGGUCACGGAUGGGCUCGCGGGACAUUAGCUAGUUGGCGGGGCAACGGCCCACCAAGUCGACGAUGGGUCUGGGAUCUGAGAUGACGGUCCCCCACACUGGUACUCAGACACGGACCA